This 86-nucleotide non-coding RNA is filed under the name unclassified sequences. The record is from RNAcentral.
ACUUUCCUGCCACCGGGUAGGGAAGUUAAGCGUCAGAGUUUCUAUCGUUAGGUCAUAGAAGAUAGGAAUUUUGGCGUUUUUUUUUU